Vidua macroura (Pin-tailed whydah) is the source of this 1060-nucleotide long non-coding RNA. RefSeq lists it as uncharacterized. The record is from RefSeq and is a predicted model, not a curated record. The transcript has 4 exons. NCBI's taxonomy places the organism in Eukaryota, Metazoa, Chordata, Aves, Passeriformes, Viduidae.
ACAUGCUGACUUGUGAUGAGGCAGCCUGGAAAACAGUGGGCAAGGAAAACCCAGGUCAGGGCAAAACAGCCUGUGUCCUCAGAAUAACUGUGUGACACAGUGCAGCCCCUCCCAUCUUCCCAGCCUCUCAUGGGGAUCACUCAGGUGAACUUGACCUCCAGAGGAGGAAUUUGCUGUAGGCAGCUGAAGAACUGCCAUACUGCGCUUCCCAGAGAAAUCAGGGAUUUCUCUUUGCCAGCUCCCAGAAGUGAGGAGCAGAGAGGCCGUAAGUGUCCAGAGAGCUGGAAACAAGCAUUCCCAGCAUGAGGGCUGGCACAGAACUCUCCUGGAAGGUGUCUUAACCUCUGGGAAAAUCCUACAGAAUCACUAUUUCUUGCACUACAUAACAGGUAGGAGGGAGAAACAGCCUUGCAGCCAUGCAGGGAGAGCACAGGAAUGUUCUGAACCCUCUCUGAAGGCUGGCACCAUUGGCACACCCUCUGAACCACCUGAGAGACAGUUGUGUUUUGAAGCAUAGACCUACUUCCAAUGCCACAACUGACUCCAUUCUCAGCUGUGCCUGGCCAGUCUUCAAUCCUCUCUUCACCUUCCUAGCCCAGGUAAAUCCCAAACGUGUGCAAAAUACCCCAGACCACAGCCAGGAGCUGAGCUAACCCUCGGAUACAGAAUAGAAAAAUGCCCCCUGUAUUCCAAAGUGGCUGACAGGUGAUUCCUGCAGGUGCAGGACAGGUGGAUCUAUGCCUGGAGCAGGCCUGGGUGGGGAACAGCAGAGCUACCGGGACUGCAUCCAGCCUCCCUGCUGACUGCUGAGAGGCAUCUGAUGGAAAACACAUCCCCAUGGCCACAGCUGACACUGCCCCUGCUCAUCACUGACUAAAUAUGCAGGAGAAUCAGCAGGUAAUGUGAGGAGACUCUCUGAAGUGGAGAUACUGACACCAGAAGUCAUGGCUGGCCUCCAGUUCAUGAGCGGGAAAUUAAUUCUGAGGUUCAGAAGUCUGAAAAUUGGGAUAUGACUGGGGGAGGCUUUGCACUUAAAAGCAAUUAAAAUAAUUAAAUCAUA